RNAcentral lists this ribosomal RNA (439 nucleotides) under uncultured bacterium. Its description in RNAcentral is "partial 16S ribosomal RNA". It matches the Rfam family "Bacterial small subunit ribosomal RNA", at positions 339 to 795 of the family's 1533-position model. The record is from RNAcentral.
CUACGGGAUGCUCCAGUGAGGAAUAUUGCACAAUGGGGGGAACCCUGAUGCAGCAACGCCGCGUGGAGGAUGACGCAUUUCGGUGUGUAAACUCCUUUUAUAUGUCAAGAAAAUGACGGUAGCAUAUGAAUAAGCACCGGCUAACUCCGUGCCAGCAGCCGCGGUAAUACGGGGGGUGCAAGCGUUACUCGGAAUCACUGGGCGUAAAGGACGCGUAGGCGGGUUGGAAAGUCAGGUGUGAAAUCCUACAGCUUAACUGUAGAACUGCACUUGAAACUUCUAAUCUAGAGUAUGGGAGGGGGAGAUGGAAUUAGUGGUGUAGGGGUAAAAUCCGUAGAUAUCACUAGGAAUACCUAAAGCGAAGGCGAUCUCCUGGAACAUUACUGACGCUAAGGCGUGAAAGCGUGGGGAGCAAACAGGAUUAGAUACCCCUGUAGUC